RNAcentral lists this long non-coding RNA (350 nucleotides) under Nicotiana benthamiana. Its description in RNAcentral is "long non-coding RNA (NBEN_LNC017984)". Lineage: Eukaryota; Viridiplantae; Streptophyta; Magnoliopsida; Solanales; Solanaceae. The record is from RNAcentral.
UUCUGAUAUGUAACAAAAGAACUUUUUAGAGAUGUGCUCGCCACUACAAUCAAAUUGUAGUAACUUAAUAUAUUUCUUUGAUGCUUCUCUGUUUGAAGUCUUAAAAAUCUUGAAUCACUUAAUUCAUUAAGACUUACAGUGCAUCAAAUAAAUAUAUUAAUAUUUUGAGUAAUCAUUUAUAAACGUCACAAAAUACUCAAAAUCAAUCAGAAAGGAUUCAUUCUAACUUAUCACUAGUUUUAUUUCCUUUUAAAAUGAAACAUCUUUUAGUCAAAUUUCCUUCCAAAUAGGAUCCACAAGUUGGUAGUGCCUCUACUUUCAAUGAACCUUAACGUACAUCCUUGACCAAC